AUACGAAGGGGGCUAGCGUUGUUCGGAAUUACUGGGCGUAAAGCGCAUGUAGGCGGACAUUUAAGUCAGGGGUGAAAUCCCGGGGCUCAACCUCGGAACUGCCUUUGAUACUGGGUGUCUAGAGUGUGGAAGAGGUAAGUGGAAUUCCGAGUGUAGAGGUGAAAUUCGUAGAUAUUCGGAGGAACACCAGUGGCGAAGGCGGCUUACUGGUCCAUUACUGGGGACGCUGAGGUGCGAAAGCGUGGGGAGC
RNAcentral lists this ribosomal RNA (250 nucleotides) under uncultured bacterium. RNAcentral's name for it is "partial 16S ribosomal RNA". It matches the Rfam family "Bacterial small subunit ribosomal RNA", at positions 523 to 769 of the family's 1533-position model. The record is from RNAcentral.